This is a non-coding RNA of Chelonoidis abingdonii (Abingdon island giant tortoise), 5097 nucleotides long. The record is from RefSeq and is a predicted model, not a curated record. Lineage: Eukaryota; Metazoa; Chordata; Testudines; Testudinidae.
GAGCCCCAGCCUCGCCGAGCCCGACAGCAGGAGCCGAGGCAGCGCCAUGAGCCAGAAAUGCGACGUGCUCGUGGUCGGGGCCGGCAUCUCAGGUCUGUCGGCAGCCAAGUUGCUGACUGAGUCAGGGCUGAGUGUUGUGGUGUUGGAAGCCCGUGACAGAGUUGGAGGAAGAACUUUCACUGCAAGGAAUAAGCAAGUCCAGUAUGUGGAUCUUGGAGGAGCAUAUGUGGGGCCGACACAAAAUCGCAUCCUGCGAUUGUCUAAGGAGCUAGGAAUAGAGACGUAUAAAGUGAAUGAAGUAGAACAUCUUAUUCACCAUGUCAAGGGUAAAAGUUAUCCCUUUAAGGGUGCAUUUCCUACUAUGUGGAACCCUUUUGUCAUCUUAGAUUUCAACAAUCUAUGGAGGACGAUGGAUGAAAUGGGAAAGGAGAUUCCUAAUGAAGCCCCAUGGAAGGCACCACAUGCAGAAGAAUGGGACAAAAUGUCUAUGCAAGAUUUCAUCGACAAAGUUUGUUGGACAAAUGCUAGUAAGAGAUUUGCAACACUGUUUGUGAAUGUGGAUGUCACCUCUGAGCCUCACGAGGUCUCUGCUCUCUGGUUCCUGUGGUACGUGAAGCAGUGCGGGGGGACAGGCAGGAUAUUCUCCACCACCAACGGUGGGCAGGAGAGGAAGUUUGUUGGAGGUUCUGGUCAGAUUAGUGAGAAGUUAAUGGAACGCUUAGGAGGCCGAGUGAAGCUAGAGAAACCUGUAGUCCGCAUUGAUCAAUCAGGUGAAAAUGUUAUUGUGGAGACCUUAGACCAUGAAUCAUACGAGGCCAAAUAUGUUGUUAGUGCCAUUCCCCCAAUUCUUAAUUUGAAGAUUCAUUUCAACCCACCAUUACCACCAAUGAGAAACCAGCUGAUCAGCCGGGUUCCCAUGGGCUCAGUCAUCAAGUGCAUGGUAUACUACAAAGAACCUUUCUGGAGGAAAAAGGACUACUGUGGUACCAUGCUCAUUGAAGAUGAGGAAGCUGUCAUUGGAAUGACACUCGAUGAUACCAAACCCAAUUGCAGUGUUCCUGCCAUAAUGGGUUUUAUUCUCGCUCGAAAGUGUAGAAGACUGACACAUCUCACAAAGGAAGAAAGGAAGAAGAGGAUCUGCGAACUCUAUGCGAAGGUUUUGGGAUCAGAGGAGGCUUUACAUCCAAUGCAUUAUGAAGAGAAGAACUGGUGUGCGGAGCAGUAUUCUGGCGGGUGCUACACAGCUUACUUCCCACCAGGGAUAAUGACGCAGUUCGGAAGGAUCAUUCGCCAGCCAGUUGGUAGGAUCUACUUUGCUGGCACAGAGACAGCUACAGAAUGGAGCGGGUACAUGGAGGGGGCUGUGCAGGCUGGAGAGAGAGCAGCUAGAGAGGUACUGUGUUCUAUGGGGAAAAUCUCAGAAGGUGAAAUUUGGAAGUCAGAACCAGAAUCAGUUGAUGUCCCAGCCCGGCCAAUCACUACUACCUUUUGGGAGAGAAACUUGCCGUCUGUACCAGUACUGCUAAGGCUGAUUGGAUUUUCCACUUUCUUCACUUCAGUGGCUGCUGUUGGGCUGUUUGCCUACAAAAAGGGGCUGCUAGUUCGAAACUGAGAAAGGUGCCAGCACAAAGCUGCAUACUUGUUGUGUUCUUUUUCCAAAGUUUGUUUUGACAUGCACUUAUCUGUCUUCAAAAGCAGAUCAGGACUGGUAACGGGGGUGGGGGAAAGUAGAGAUGCAACUUUAGAGUGAGGAUGAGUGGAGGGGUUUGGAUAAGAUAAAGACCCCCUGAAUAUUGACCUAUUUUUAGCACCGGUUCAGAUAAGGUAAGGACCCCCUGAACCUUGCCCACCACUGUUCUGAGAGGUUCCACUGUGUGUUACUUCACUUUGAGUUUCUAUCCAGGUCUGCAAAUGAAAAUGCCAAAAUACCGUGAGAAAGCUGUUCUUAUGAUAUUUUCAGCCUUUUGUACACUUGUAUCUGACCCAACCUGAACUCUGAACAUUUAAAGGCAUGCCCGUCCCUAAUUAUAAGUGGAAUAUUGCCACACUCAAGUUCUGGAGAUCUAAAGGACUUCAGUUGUAGCUUAAAAUAAUUUCUGAAUAAAUGCAAAUUGCAGGUGAGGGUCUUUUGAUGUAUUUUUUCCCAAAAUGCCUCGAGCCCAAACAGCACUUACAAAAAAAUGUAAGGCUAAAUUUUAAAAUCUUGUUCCAAACUGUGCAAGUGCUCAUGAGUUUGCCAAGAAUAUAAUUCCUCACUUUACAUUUCCAAUCACAUGUUAUAGACUAUGGACCCAGUGGCACGAAAGAGGCUAUAAAGCUGGCUUAAGUGGCAUCCUGAGGAUUCCCCCUGUCUAGCGGCUCUACAGCACCCUUAUCCCAGCUGGGUUCCAUAAGUCUGCUAUAGGUAGUGCCAGGGAUCAAAUUAACCCCCCUGUUGAUCCCAGGGAGCCAUGAAGUAACUUUUACAGCACUUACUUUUCUGCACCCUUGUCUAAGCUUUUUGGGGUAGGGGCUCUCUCUCACCUUGUUUGUAGGGUACAGUGGGCCCUAGAUCUCAGCUGGAACCUACAGGCACUACCAUAAUAAGUAAUAACUUUAUCCAGUGUUGAAAACAGCUUAUCUGGGCCAGAGAAUCUGAGCUCAUGUCUACGCAUUUUCCCAACAAUUAGUCCUUGAAAUAUAAAUGGAAAUCUCUAAAUAACAUUUCAAUUUGUAUUCCUUGGCAUUUAUGUUGUGUUGAGGGGUGCACCUGGAAUUGCGAGGGUGAUUUCUCUUAUGUUCUUCUGCUCUACAAAAAUAAAAAAAGCCCCUGCUCAGCUUUGCUUCUUGAUUCGUAUCACUCUAAAUUGGACUUUUUUAUAUGCACAAUUAAUAGAGUUUUCUCGAGCACACCUAUAGUCAUCUAAGAUGUGACCUGCCUCUCAGUCCUCUGUAUUUCACUUAGGAGGAAAGGUUAUUGCGGUUCUGCUCUUUUGAAUAUAAUUUCCAGAAGAAAGGAAUCUUACUACUUUACCUUAGCACCAUCAGUCAUCAUCAUUUUUUUUAAAAAAGCAAGACAAGGCAAGAGAAGAGCUUGAAAAUCCUUCCAAAUCACUAUAAAGCUCUGAUGUUAGUGAAAAGUAUCCAAUCCUUGUAUGUACCAAAGGCCCAGAACAAUGGAAUUCAGUGUAAGUGACAGCAGCAUGGUUUCCAGGGCUGUAAAAUCAUCUUCUUGUCCCUCAGUUCUUUUCUGGACUGUAAUUGCUUCCAAGAAGAAGUAGUUUCUACUUCCUGAGAGUGAGAGCAGCCAAACUGUGCUUGUUAGUCAGCCAUUCUUUGACAAGAUCUUAUCUUAAGCUUUCGGGCCUGAGUUUCAGCCUGCUAGCAAAAUGGAGUACAAUUUUUUUCUAUCACAUCUCUAGUCAGAUCUAGUUUUCACCUUUUGUGUACCUUUGAAAACUAUAUUAUUAAGAAAUGUACAAUCCUGUAGUGGGAGUUUUGGAAGUCCUAUGAGCAAAUUCUCUGCUGCUGUAAACGGACACGGCACUACUGACAUAAGUGAAACACUGAGCUACCAACAUUACAAUAUUUUCAGUUGUCCUUUUCUAUUCAACCUUCAGUCAAAGACUUUCUGGCAUUACACUAGUUAAUAUGAAGCUAUUAUUCCAUGCUACAUUGAAUGCCAUUCUAACUAUGCUCCAUAAAGUCUUCUCUUGGUGACAUUUCACACUGCUUGGCUCACAGUUUUAUGAGGAGAAGGUGUGAAUGAUUAAGCACAAGAUCAUUGCUUGCCCUACAUGCUUGCACAAAGGAAUGAGGGGGCAUCAAAUGUCUUGCACAGGUUACCUGCAUUGCAGCUCUCAGUGCAGAAAGGAGAGCGGCCUCUAAGGAGUCACUACUCCUCCUCCCACUCAGGUGUUCAGAAUGGGUAUGGGAAAGGUGGAACCCUGACUAAGCCCCACAGCAAACCAGUCAGCAUAGCUGAGGCAACAUGAAGAGAGGGAAGUAAUCUGUAUGUGGUUAAAGACUGGGGCAGAUUACUUCUCACUGGAGUAAGAGAGGAGCAGGGGACUGAAUUGUGACUUUCAACAUUUGUCCCUGGGGCAGUGCAGCUUGCACAUGGUAGACUGCUAAGCAACAACCUAGUCCUGUGGUAUCACCUCCAAAUCCAUAUGUCUGGUGGGAGACUUCACAAUCUAGCUAGUCAAGAUUUUGUAGGAUCUUUAAAACAACCCCCCUGAAAUCAAGAUUCGGAGGACAGCUCAUCAGCAGGGCGUUAACUGUAAAAGGGUCAAUUGCUCAACUAUGCAAAAUGGAGUCAGCUCUUCCACAUCAGUAGGAAUGCAGUACAAGUCCAACGGACGUUCCCAAGAUCUUAGUAACUAUUCAGGGGGUUGAAUCACAAAGAGAUCAAAUGGAGCCCUUAAGCUUAAGCAUGUACCGGUGCUUCUGUCCUUCCUGUUUUGGGGCCUUUGAAACAAUGUACACAAGAAUGAAAAAAAAAUUGUUGUCUGUUAUACACAGAGUGUCACAGUUCGGGUCAACUGCACCUCUGUUUCCUCUUACUGGUUCAGCAAGUGUACCCACUCUUAGGCUUCCUUUCCCCUAGCCAUUGCCUUUCUUAGUGUAUAGCUGUGUCUCUCUCCCUCCGGACUGGGGUAUUUCCAGGUUGAACAGUUCCCUGCCUUCACUGUAAUAUUCCCAGCAAACAGCAGUCUGCCCAGACAGGCCUGCUUGCUUUCUCUUCAGAGACUAAUAAUACAGUGAUUGCCAACAGCUAGAAGUUACUACACAGCACGUCCUAUGCAAGUCUCUUUUAUUCUUAAGGUAAAAGCACUUCAGAAAAAACACAUUAAAACAAUACAAAUCUCCAUGCAUACUAUAUGAUAUUACCAGAGAUCCUCUCCUCCAAUUGUCUCCAGCAUGAUUUCUAGCAAGUGAGUCCUUUACACCCCUCAAAUGAGUCUCUUUUUUGGGCACAAGUUCACAACAGCCUCAGCUCAGAACUAGCACACUCAUGUGGUUGGAGGUCUUUGAAUUGGAGUUUUCAGAAGCAGGUAAUCAGUAUACAAUUGGUUUCUCUCUCCAGGGCAUAGUUUCAAAAGGAUGGAUUUGAGG